UCCCUGGUGGCUCAGUGGUAAACAAUCUGCCUGCAAUGCAGAAUACCCAGGUUCAAUCCCUGGGUUGGGAA
RNAcentral lists this transfer RNA (71 nucleotides) under Ovis aries (sheep). It matches the Rfam family "tRNA". From Rfam's summary of the family: Transfer RNA (tRNA) molecules are approximately 80 nucleotides in length. Their secondary structure includes four short double-helical elements and three loops (D, anti-codon, and T loops). The record is from Rfam by way of RNAcentral. Lineage: Eukaryota; Metazoa; Chordata; Mammalia; Artiodactyla; Bovidae.